GAAAGAUAACUGUUAUAUUAGCUUGU
RNAcentral lists this small RNA (26 nucleotides) under Arabidopsis thaliana (thale cress). RNAcentral describes it as "ATSL232780". Lineage: Eukaryota; Viridiplantae; Streptophyta; Magnoliopsida; Brassicales; Brassicaceae. The record is from RNAcentral.